AGUGAACGCUGGCGGUAGGCCUAACACAUGCAAGUCGAACGGCAGCACAGUAAGAGCUUGCUCUUACGGGUGGCGAGUGGCGGACGGGUGAGGAAUACAUCGGAAUCUACUUUUUCGUGGGGGAUAACGUAGGGAAACUUACGCUAAUACCGCAUACGACCUACGGGUGAAAGCAGGGGAUCUUCGGACCUUGCGCGAUUGAAUGAGCCGAUGUCGGAUUAGCUAGUUGGCGGGGUAAAGGCCCACCAAGGCGACGAUCCGUAGCUGGUCUGAGAGGAUGAUCAGCCACAAUGGAACUGAGACACGGUCCAGACUCCUACGGGAGGCAGCAGUGGGGAAUAUUGGACAAUGGGCGCAAGCCUGAUCCAGACAUACCGCGUGGGUGAAGAAGGCCUUCGGGUUGUAAAGCCCUUUUGUUGGGAAAGAAAAGCAGCAGGUUAAUACCCCGCUGUUCUGACGGUACCCAAAGAAUAAGCACCGGCUAACUUCGUG
RNAcentral lists this ribosomal RNA (492 nucleotides) under uncultured bacterium. Its description in RNAcentral is "partial 16S ribosomal RNA". It matches the Rfam family "Bacterial small subunit ribosomal RNA", at positions 29 to 507 of the family's 1533-position model. The record is from RNAcentral.